GUUCUGUAGCUCAGAAGGUAGAGCACCGUGCUUAUCACACGACUGUCGCGGGUUCGAAUCCCGCCGAACG
RNAcentral lists this transfer RNA (70 nucleotides) under Polaromonas sp. JS666. It matches the Rfam family "tRNA". From Rfam's summary of the family: Transfer RNA (tRNA) molecules are approximately 80 nucleotides in length. Their secondary structure includes four short double-helical elements and three loops (D, anti-codon, and T loops). Further hydrogen bonds mediate the characteristic L-shaped molecular structure. tRNAs have two regions of fundamental functional importance: the anti-codon, which is responsible for specific mRNA codon recognition, and the 3' end, to which the tRNAs corresponding amino acid is attached (by aminoacyl-tRNA synthetases). tRNAs cope with the degeneracy of the genetic code in two manners: having more than one tRNA (with a specific anti-codon) for a particular amino acid; and 'wobble' base-pairing, i.e. permitting non-standard base-pairing at the 3rd anti-codon position. The record is from Rfam by way of RNAcentral. Lineage: Bacteria; Pseudomonadati; Pseudomonadota; Betaproteobacteria; Burkholderiales; Comamonadaceae.